UGGAAAUUUAUGAUAAGAGUAUAGAAUUUUUUGUACUCAUGAAGUUUUGUUUGGUAUUACGAAAAUAUUACGUCAUAUAUUAUGAGAAAGUAUGAUAGAAAAAUGUCAUAUUUAUUUUUGUAUAUAAUAUUGCGUUUUGUAUAUCGUAAUGAGUCGAUUAUGAUAUAUUUUUUACAGUCCCAUCGAAGAACGUAGAAAUAUAUCCCUAUAUAUUUUUAUCCCGACUUAAUUUUAUCUAAUAGCGUCAAAUAUACCUCAAUACCAAACUAAGCCUAACUCGUUUUCGAUAAUGGAGCUUCCGAAUCGAUGAUCCACUCGGUUAAAUAUGAUAUAGAGUAUUUGAAACUUUUAAAAAAUAAAUUUCGUAAUUUUUCGAAAUCAUAAUAAAAUCCAUCAAGCGGACAUAAAAUAGAUUAUCAAAAUUGAACAAUAUCCUAAAAAUGGAUUAUCAGAUUUUUCAAUUCAAGAUCGGAGUUAUUAAUCUCUAUCUAGAUAGUGAAUAGAAUUUUCUAUCACAUUCAACCAAUUUUGAUUCUUUUACACCGCUAAACUAGCAAGUAUUCCAUACCCGCCGUUAAAAAUUGCCAAUUUUGAGAUAUUUUGAUCGAAAGGUAAAUAAUGUCCAAAAAUUAUAAAAUUUGACUUCUAAAAAUUUUAAAUGCUCUAGAUAAUGUUUAACAGUAUGGAUCGUCGAUUCGGAAGCUGUAUCAUCGAAAACAACUUAUGAGUACGAGAGGGAUCGUACUCAUAAGAAUACAGCAGCCGGAAUGAUCCAAAUCGACGAUCAGCACCCUUACAUAUAAUUUAUAUCACUUAAAACAUCUAUAGAAACUAAAUGUCACAGUUUUUCGAUAUUAUUCUCUUAUCUAUCAAGUAGACAAGAAAAUGAACGGUUGGAAAUGAAUAUCAUUUAAAAUUUGAUGAUAGGAGUUUUGUAAUCAAGAUCAAAAGUAUAGAUCUUACUUAAAUAGUUUAAAAGAUUUUCUAACUAAAUUCAAUUAAUUUGACUAUCUUUGUGUUGUUAAACAAGAAAACGUCUCAUAUUGACCAUUAAAAUUAUAAUUUUUGAAACAUUAGGUCAGUGAUGUCGGUAAUUUAAUUUCUAAAUAUUUCAAAUAGUAUAAGAUUAUAUCAACAGUACCGAUCAUCGAUUCGGAGGCUCUAUCAUAAAAAACGAAUAGAUGACAACAAAACUCGUUUGCUAUUUAUCGCAUUUCAAACUCAACUCUCUCUAUAUAUACACCACCUACGAUUCUAAUCAGCAAUAAUAUAAUAAAGUUUUAAUUAAGCGUUAAAAUCUUUUUAAGUCGUGAAACUAGGAUUCUAAUCAGCACUAACAGAGAAUUCCCUUUGAAAAGAGAAUCAUCAGACUCCAAAAUUUAUGCAUAAUUACAGAAUCCUUGAUUAUUUUCUGAAUUUGUUUUAAUUUUUCCUUUAAAGAAAAACAUUCUUCCUUUUGAUCUUUUCCACAUAGAAAUGCACAUUCACACCCCCUCAAACAUGAUCAAGAGUCUGCUUUAUUUGAUUCAGUAGAUACAUACAUACAUACAUACAUACAUAUACAUAUACAUAUACAUAUACAUAUACAUAUACAUAUACAUAUAUAUAUGUAUAUAUAUAAGGAGUACAUUUUUGUUCUAUCUCUCUCAUUUAAUUUCUAUACAAAUUUCUCACCAUUGCCAAGAAAAUAGCUCUUUAUGAACAUAUAUAAGAUCCUAGAAUCUAAGAUAAGAUAGUACANUCUAUUUUACUGAGUUUUGCUAAAAUAUAUAUAUAUAUGCGCAUGAGAAAAAAAACAAAAAAUACGAGUUCCCAUAAGAACGUGUAGACAACGUGAGUGCGUUGGGAUAUUGUGGAAACGUAUACAUCAUCCACAAUAGCCUUUUGCGUUACGGAGAGGCCCCAAAGAAAACAUAUAUAUAUACACACAUGCACUGAUCAAUUUUGUUCUCAGGGUUACGUAGAUAGAGAUAUUUUUGAGGAUGGGGUUUGUUAACGAAUUAUUGUAGUUGUUGUUGUUGUUGUUGUUAGAGAGAGAGGGAGAGAGAGAGAGGGAGGGCCACACGUGUGACGUGGCUACAGGAACUCCCUACAACAAACCAAUUUGGGGACCCACCACUUCACACGUGGGAUCCUCUUAACACGUGGAAAUUUGUGAUAAGAGUAUAGAAUUUUUCGUACACAUAAAGUUUUGUUUGGUAUUACGAAAAUAUUACGUUAUAUAUUAUGAGAAAAUAUGAUAAAAAAAUAUCAUAUUAUUUUUGUAUAUAAUAUUGCGUUUUGUAUAUUGCAAUGAGUCGGUUACGAUAUAUUUUUUGCAGUCCCACCGAAGAACGUAGAAAUAUAUCCUUAUAUAUUUUUAUCCCGACUUAAUUUUAUCUAAUAGCGUCAAAUAGACCUCAAUACCAAACUAAGCCUAACUCGUUUUCGAUAAUAGAGCUUCCGAAUCGAUGAUCCACUCCGUUAAAUAUGAUCUAGAGUAUUUGAAACUUCUAAAAAAUAAAUUUCGUAAUUUUUCGAAAUUAUAAUAAAAUCUAUCAAGCGGACAUAAAAUAAAUGGUCAAAAUUGAACAAUAUGCUAAAAAUGGAUGAUCAGAUUUUUCAAUUCAAGAUCGGAGUUAUUAAUCUCUAUCUAGAUAGUGAAUAGAAUUUUCUAUCAAAUUCAACCAAUUUUGAUUCUUUUACCCCGCUAAACUAGCAAGUAUUCCAUACCCGCCGUUAAAAAUUGCCAAUUUUGAGAUAUUUUGAUCGAAA
This 2754-nucleotide long non-coding RNA is filed under the name Ananas comosus (pineapple). Its description in RNAcentral is "long non-coding RNA (ACOM_LNC002651)". Lineage: Eukaryota; Viridiplantae; Streptophyta; Magnoliopsida; Poales; Bromeliaceae. The record is from RNAcentral.